Non-coding RNA from Caretta caretta (loggerhead turtle), 3029 nucleotides. The record is from RefSeq and is a predicted model, not a curated record. Lineage: Eukaryota; Metazoa; Chordata; Testudines; Cheloniidae.
CUACUGGGGACAGGGUUGGGGGCACUGGGGUCCAAACUGGUUAGUGCGUCAAUCUGAAAAAAAAAGGCCCUGCACCUGCCAGGGCCCUUCAGAUGAGUAGCAAACCCUCCCUGACAGCUGACGAGCCCCAGCCUGCCUGCUUCUUCCCUGAUGGCUGCCAAUGGGACAAAGUGCUUCAUCAGGGGGAUUCUUCGCACGAGUGGGGAGCCCUCUGAGUCAAGGCUCUCUGAGCUCCUCCAUGGCCAGCCCAGCCAAGGACACUCUUGGCCUCUCCGCGUCUUCCCCCAGAAUCGCGCUGCAGUUGCGCAUGGCCACCAGUGUGAGGCGAGCUGCUUUCAUCCCACCCGAAGGGCCGAACAGGACCUCUUAGCCCUGAGGUCAAAGGGAGCUGAGCUGGAGCCCAGCCAAACUCCCACGGGCCGGGCUGGCCCGUCAACUUCACUGCGCAGCUUCACGGAUAGGUGGCGCUGUGGCCAUGAAGCUACCCAGCCCCGGGUGCAGGGUGUGGGCACACAGGGAUGCGCCGCUUGGACUGGACAGAAUCACAGAAUCCUGGAAUCUCAGGGUUGGAAGGGACCUCAGGAGGUCAUCUAGUCCAACCCCCUGCUCAAAGCAGGGCCGACCCCCAAUUUUUGCCCCAGAUCCCUAAAUGGCCCCCUCAGGGAUUGAACUCGCAACCCUGGGUUUAGCAGGCCCAUGCUCCAACCACUGAGCUCCCCCCCGCCACAGCUGGGGUUGGCAGCGGUCUUUUCCCUGCUCCCAGUGCUGAGUUGGGGCCCCAGGGCCGAUUCAAAGCAUUCUCGGUCCCCGGUGAAGUGCAGUGAAUCGGGGGGGGGCUGCAGCUGGCCUGGCCCGUUUCUCCCCCGCAGUCCGAGCGCGCCCCUGGGUUGCUCCUGGGCGCGGGGACGGUCCGGCCCAUCCCGCUGAGGAAGGGUGUCGGCUGCUUUCGCGACGAAGCGACACGCCCGCCCGGCGCCCCCGGCCCGGCGCCCGCGCUCCCGGGACAGCGGCUGCCGCGGCUCUGCCGGCCUGGAGCGUUGAGCCCCCUUCAGCAAACAGGGUCGGCGCUUGGGAGCCGGUGACGGAGCCCCGUGCUGGAACGGCUCUGGCUCCCUGGAGAGGGACGGGGAAAUGAAGAGGAAGGAACUCAGCGGUCCUUCUCUUGGCAGCCACUCCAUUGCUGUAGCUUGAGUUGUAUGGAAGUGGAGACUGGGACAUACACUCUCCUUGGACACAACAUAUCUGCUUCAUGCCAGCUCAGGGCCAUUAUGGAACAGCUGACGCUUCUUAUCUGCUCCUGUUCUGGAUGAAGUGAAGCUGUAACUCACGAAAGCUCAUGCUCAAAUAAAUUGGUUAGUCUCUAAGGUGCCACAAGUACUCCUUUUCUUUUUGUUCUGGAUGUGCGGGUUAUGAACAGGACGGGGUGCCAGGUCUGGCUCUUCGUGCACCAGGGUGGCAUUUCCCAUCAGUUAAAUAUCCCAGGGUGGCUGGGAGCGGUGCUCAGCAGGGCUCGCACAGCCACGCCCCAGGGUUAUCAUCCCCCAAGAAGGGUGUCCCGGAGUUGGAAGACAAAGGGGAGAACAAAGAGAGCGAACCAGACCUGGAGUCCAUCGCAGCUUGGAUGGCCCAUCAUGGCACUGGUUUGACCAGGCUGGACUGUGGCUGAACUUCUGCCUCUUUCUGCUAACCCAAGGGCCAUCAGAUUCUCUGGCUAGGUGACUGAUAAAUUGUUCCCAUAUUUUGCAAAAGCUUCCUGUGUUGCUGUAAAUACUCCCUGAGAAUAUAUCACCCCCUGAAGGGGGACCGUACAUGUCUCCCGCAGGGGUCUGGCUUGGCUGGAUUCGCUGCAGGGAAUGCUGGUGCUCAAGGCCCAGUCUUGGAGGCCACCAGCCUGCCCUGGUGGAACCAUAGGGCUAGAGGGGUCACUCUCAGGAGACUGGUGACAGACUGGGGCAUAGACCAGACCCUGUGACUCUGUGACAACAGAUAUGGCGGGCGGAACCCAGAUCGUGUUGCUGGGAUCCUUCUGCACUGUCCCUCUUAGACAGGUGUCAGGGUAGGGGGCCAAGGUAGAUGGGGCUGCAGGAACGGUCAUGGUCGAGCAAAGGAGGAAAUGUGACUGGGGCGAGGCAGGAAGGGCUGUGUAGGCUGGAAGAGGAUCUGGCCAAGCAGCUGGCCAUCCAGAUCUCAGGUAAUUUCUAGGUGAAUAAACUAAAUCAAAACUGAGCUAGUUUCAGGGGACACUGGUCCCAGAGACCAGCUCUCUCAUAAAAUCCCCAUCCCCACCAAUGGACUGGAAAGACCAUGGUACUCAUACACCACAGUGACUGAAUGCACUCCUGUAUUCACACUCUACACACUAUUGCAAUAAUCAUUGUACCAAAUAUGCUUCGUACAUCAUCAUCUGAAAACUAUCAACCCACUGGUCAAUAAUAUCAUGGUGAAAGUGCAUAGCAACAUUGUGUGUAAAGUUAUGAAAUCCCCCCUGUAUAAUGUUAAAGGGACAUGUUCAAACUCAUGUAGCCCUGAUUAGGCACAACUGGUCAAGCAGGUCUCAAACAAAGGGCUUUGUGGUUCUCUCAACUGCCAUACAAAUUGUAAACAGAGUCCUGAGACAGCGAGAGAGAAAAGAAAGGAGACAAAGAAAAUCUGUACCGCGGCACACACCGGUGAAAGAAAACGGCAGGAAGCAUCUCUCCUCACUAGACACCAUGGCUCCUGCUCAGCAGGAUAGAACUGUAUGAUGGGGCUGAACUAUAAAAGUGAGCGGCAAACAUGCCAAGGGAUCACUCUCCCUGUCCACCUCCCUCUUUGCACCGACCACAAAAGAAACAGCUAUUGGACUUUGGGGGAGGGGCCCUGGCCUAAAAAGUGUGGCCCAUACUUUCAGUCAAGUAUAGUUUGCUAAGUUAGGCACUGGGAAGUGUUCUAUCUUUAUUUUUCUUGUAACCAUUUCUGACUUUUAGGCCUCAUUCCUUGUACUCACUUAAAAUCCUUUAUUUUAUGAAUAAACUUCUUUUAUUGUUUAA